GACCUACUUGACUCAGCAGUUAGAGUAUUGCUUUCAUACGGCGAGAGUCAUUGGUUCAAAUCCGAGAAAGGUUU
Molecule: transfer RNA, 74 nt
Filed under: Rhododendron molle
Lineage: Eukaryota; Viridiplantae; Streptophyta; Magnoliopsida; Ericales; Ericaceae
Description: tRNA-Met
Source: RNAcentral